Molecule: transfer RNA, 77 nt
Filed under: Aggregatibacter actinomycetemcomitans NUM4039
Lineage: Bacteria; Pseudomonadati; Pseudomonadota; Gammaproteobacteria; Pasteurellales; Pasteurellaceae
Description: tRNA-Met
Source: RNAcentral
CCCCGCAACCAGAUUCUAAAAGAAAGGCAUUCGUUCUUGCGAAUGCCUUUUUUCUUCUCUUUAUAAACUAAACCUAA